CACGUAAUUAGCCGGGACCUUAUUCGUAUAGUACUGUCAUUUUCUUCCUAUACAAAAGAUUUUUACAACCCGAAGGCCUUCUAAAUCACGCGGCGUCGCUGCAUCAGGGUUGCCCCCAUUGUGCAAAAUUCCCCGACUGCUGCCUCCCGUAGGAGUCUGGGCCGUGUCUCAGUCCCAAUGUGGCCGUACACUCUCUCAAGCCGGCUACUGAUCGUUGCCUUGGUGAGCUGUUAUCUCACCAACUAGCUAAUCAGACGCAAGUCCAUCUUACACCGCUAAACACUUUGACUUACUCUUCAUGCGAAGUUUAAAGUUUUAUAGGGUAUUAUUCUCCGUUUCCAGAGGCUAUCCCCUUGUGUAAGGCAGGUUACUCACGCGUUACUCACCCGUUCGCCACUAAUCCAUUUCAUUUCACCCCGAGGGAUCAAUGAAGUUUCAUCGUUCGACUUGCAUGUGUUAUGCACGCCGCCAGCGUUAUCUCGAGCACGGAUCAAACUC
Molecule: ribosomal RNA, 498 nt
Filed under: uncultured Anaerococcus sp.
Lineage: Bacteria; Bacillati; Bacillota; Tissierellia; Tissierellales; Peptoniphilaceae
Description: partial 16S ribosomal RNA
Source: RNAcentral